Molecule: long non-coding RNA, 11119 nt
Organism: Diorhabda carinulata
Lineage: Eukaryota; Metazoa; Arthropoda; Insecta; Coleoptera; Chrysomelidae
Exons: 4
Source: RefSeq, a predicted model, not a curated record
AUAAUAAUUUGAGAAUAAUGAAGGGAUCCACUGUGUACUACUCUUUAUUAAUAAAAGAAUAAAUACAAAGCAUAAAAAACUAAAACAAAAAAAUUCCAAAACAUGGAUAGAUACAUCUAUUUGAGAUAAAAGAGUUGCUUUUUUUAAAGAAUUGUGUACAGGUUUGAAAAAUCCAUCUGGAUAAGACAAACAUUUAAUAAUCCUUCAUGCCGGAUCUGAAUAUGGAUUUGUUAUGCAUUGCUAAUAAUUGAAAGUAAAAAACACUCGGUGCUGUAAUUGUAAUGAAUAAUGCAUCUUACCACAGCCAUAGGGUAGAAAUAUUUCAACAUCUUCAUUGAAAAUAUAUAAGCAAUAAUGGUUAUAAUUCAAGAAUAUACAUUUUUAUAUGAAUAUGGUUCGAUCUGAACUUAUAUUAUAAAACAGCAUAAAAAUAAGUUUAAUUCAUGUGUUACUGAUGAAAUGACACAGAAAAUGACAAAAUUGUACUUAGGCUGCCACCAUAUCAUUGUGAAUUGAACACUAUAGAAUUGACUUGGACUCAAGUCCAAAACAAAGUGGCAGCCAAAAAUACUACUUUUAAACAGAAAGAUGUAAAAGAUCUUCUAAUGCAAGCUUUAUUAAAUGUGACAUUUACUGGCAAAAUUGUAUUACACAUGUCAUAAAAGAAGAUGAUGAAGUUCAAGUUAGAUAGGAUUGUGGAUGAUCUUAUAAGACUGAUAAUCAUUUCUUUUUCUAGUGAUGACAGUGAGGCAGUUUCUCAGUUAAUUAUUAUUUGUAUAAAUUUAUUUAGUGUUUCUUGAGUUAACAAAUAAUAGGCAAUGUCAUUAAUAGUUCUGAUAUACUGUAAGUUGUCUAUGUUCUAAGCUCCUAAUAAUCUUCAUAAUACCGAAUUUUUGGUCCUCAAUUUGAAAAUUAAAAAAUCAUUCAUUCACGGAAUCAAGUUAUCCAGUAUAAAUAACCCUAUAUUUCAUAUAUUAUUGAAGGUGACGACAUAUUUGAGUAUUUUCUCUUUAUUUCCAUUGAACAUAGAUUGAGCUUUAAAACAAGUACAGAGUAAAAAUCCACCCCAAUCUAUUAUUUAAAACCUACAAUAAAAGUAGUUACCAACAAUACCUAACUAAACAAAGGUAAAAAUGAAUCCUGAUAUGCAUUCGAAAUCACAAAACAAUAGUGUAGAACAAACUAAAUAGAGAAGUAGAUUAUGCAUGUCAAAGGAAAACAAAUUACCCAAUGGAAAUGAAAAUCUAUUAAAACAUAUAAUCGAAGAUAUUUAUACCAGUACUCCUCAAAAAUGAAAUGCAAAAGUUGCAGACAGUAUUCAUAUAUGAACGACAAUGGGGAAUGCCUUUCUCGGUUCAUUGUUAAACUUAGUUCAAAUGGCAAGUAGGAAUUAGUAAAAUGUUAAAGAAAUAUUUUUUAUUUAUUAUUUUAUACCUAAUUAUUAAUUAGGGUCAGUUAAGGUGACAAUUAAUGGAACACAUGUGGAACAUAAAAAUAAAUUGAGGAGAAGGGUUUUCCAAAUUAGACUAGGAAAUCAAUCAAUGCUGAAAAUUUUAUGAUAGAUACUACUACAAUGCAUGAACCAAGAUUAUGUGUGAGAAAGAAGAGCCCAGAAGAUUACUUUGUACGUGGCAUAUUAUUAAGAAUUGUAAUAUACAGAGAAGGUACGUGAACACAAAAAAUAAUAUAAGAUUUGAAUGAGAUGAGAAGCAUAUUAAAGGAGACGAAUAUUAACAAAUUUAUGGAACUGAAGAAUGAUUAUUUUAAAUGGGUGUUUAGGAGAGCAAGAUGAGCUCAUAUUUACAAAAAGUGAAGGAAGAAAUAAAAUGUGGGCCCAUUGAUACAGAAAUCAUAUAGGAAUGAAUACCAAUAUCACAAUAGAAAGAUUGAAUAAGUUUUUAAUGUAUUAUACAUUAAGUGGAAACUUAAUUUUAGGGUUGUUAUAUGUAUUAGAAGAAAUUAUAGAUGAAAAAAUGUGGAAUAUUAUUGAUAUCGAAAGACCACAUACCAAUAAUUACCACAGAAAAGUUACUAUGGAAAUACAGAACAAAGCAGAAGAUAUUUAGGACUGCAUAGAAAUGAUUGAGAUGAUGAAAUUUGAGGUAGAAUCUAAUUUGGCUAGUGGUAAAUUUUAUAAGGUUUCUUGCAACUAAUUUGGUAACUUGUGUUUAACAGGGUAUUUAACAGAGUGUUUAACAGAGUAUUGUAAUGUAUCGACAAAGAAGAUUUAAUAGAUAAUAUUAGAUAUUUCGAGAAGAACGACUUUUAUAAAUGAAAAGAAAUGGGAAGUAAUCAUGAACAAAAUUGUUUUAUGAAGCAUAUUAAAAAUUCUGACUGAUGCUCUUGGGACUGACCAUAAAUUACGUAACGCGGAAAUUUCAAAAUUUCAUGGCCUGUCUGCAGGGCCGUAUUAAGCUAGGGGCUUGGGGGGGCUAUAGCCCCGGGCCCCAGGUCCAAGAGGGCCCCAUCAUUUGGAAAUCAUUCUGUAUUUUUUGAUGUGUUGAUACCACAAAUCUAACGUAUUGAUAUUAUUUUGUGAAUUUUUCCGGGUUUUCAAAUUCCCUAAGGGAGCCCCGUCAUUAUUUUAGCCCCGGGCCUUAUAAAUCUUAAUCCGGCCCUGCCUGUCUGUCUGUCUGUAAUGCUACCGUAACCGUGCUCUACCCUGUCUGUCUGUCUAGGAUAACGUAACAACCUGUCGAAAAAGAAAAACGAGUUACAUAGACCAUAAAAAAGCUAUUGAAAAACGAUGUUUUGCUUAUGUAUGUUUAUUCAACUUAAAUAUUGCAAGCUAACUAAUCUAAUGUCAUAUUAUAUGACUGCUAAGAUUAUAUUUGCUCUGAUACAUUUUUUGUCUUAAAAAUAAAUAAAUUUUGGAAUUUGGGUUUUUAAACAUGUCUUGGGCGUAUCUUAAGUUAUACACUCAUUUUAGAUUAAUCAGUACAAUUAUAAAAAUAAUUUCGUGUCCUCGGUAAAAGGAUUUUCCAACCACUCUUCAAGAUUAUGAAUUUCUGGAACAGAAUUUUUCCCAAGUUCAUAAUAAUUGAUUAUAUUCAGAUUCUCUAUAUCAACGUUCUCUUCGUCCACCCACUCGACGUGUUCUGAUUCUGCAUUUUUCUUUAUUAAGAUUUCUUUGCCUCGUCUUGCAAUAACUUUAAAUGGCUUGACUCUUUCUGAUAACGACACAGAUGAACCAUAUAUGCUUUGCUUAUGAAUUUUGAGAUUUUUUUUUGUAGUGAAAUACAAGCCACACGAGUUGCAAGCUCUUCCCAACAAGUCUUUUUGCACGCUUGGGCAAAAAUAGUCAUACGCCAUGCUAGUGAAUCUUUGUAUCUACAUCAGGCUGAGGAACUUCGACUUUUGUCGAAGUUUGUUUUAGUGAGUACGGCGGGGGCAAAAACCCAUCUUCCAAAACUUGUUUCAGUCCACUUCUAGCAGAUUUACAGCAAUUUUCCUCAGAGCAUUUUGAGAUCUAAAAUGAUUAUAAAGUGAUUAUUUGCACAUGAAUUCAUAUUACAAUUUUGUAAAUCUUGUGGUAUUUCAACGUUUACCUGAAGAAAAUAUUGACUUUCUCUCACAUGCUUUGAAUACCGCACUUGAUGUGAUGGUAAAUUAGGGAUCGGUAUAUCUUCCUGUGGUUCUACAUAUUCUGCCAUCACUUUAUAACCAUUAACUACGCAUUUACUUAAAAUGUCCCCACAAACUUUUGCAGCAAAAGCAAAAUUUUUUAGCUUCAAGUCAUUGUCGAUGGUGGAUGAUUUAGCAUCUAAAUUAUUUUCAAAGUGGUCAUGUUCGAGUACAACGCCUGCCAGUUCUCUGCUGAGGGGUACCAUUUUUCUUUCUACUGGAUUGAAAGCACUUCUUCCCGGUGCAUUGGUAAAAAUUAAUAUUGCAUCCAAAUCGUACUUUUCAUCUGGCCCGCCAUCAACAGAGAAAAAAACAACUGGUUUCACAAAACCAUUUUCAUGUAGCAUAUUUUGCUUGAAAGACUCAAUUUCUAAUAAUUUUUCAAAAUCAACAGCGUGAGUAGAAGCAGUUGAUUUUGAGUGCUUUCCGCUUCUAAUCGCAACGUAAGUCGGUCCCGAGUACGUUACAGCUUUUGCAGAGCCCAUCAUAUCAGGCAAAACAACUAAUAAAGCGUAGACAGACGGUAUAAGUUUGUGCCUUUCAGCUACCACCCAAUCGUGGUCUGGAAGUUUGACCUAGAAAAAUUCGUUAAUGAACUGAUUGCAUACAAUAUCUUUCUUUGCUAUCAAUAUUUAUUUAAUUGGGAAAUUGAUACCAGUUUGAAAUUUUACCGAAGAAACGUAUUACCUGAUAAUGCAAGUGCAUAAAAAUAGGCGCUUGUUUAUUUGCUGCUGUGAUUCUCAAUGGCACUCUUGCGUUAUCAUCCUGAGGUAGAAAAAUGACUUGUCCAAGAAUUGAUGCCAAAACUUGAGUUUGCCUAAUACUAGCAGUACAGAAAUAUUGAUCGGGGUUACUCUUGUGCAAGUUUGUUUGAGCUUUCUUGUGCUUUACAGGAACAAUGUUUAUGUGUCGCCUGCCUUCAAUCGUAUUCGAUUUUCGUGGAAUCAGACAUAAGUAAAGUGCACUUCGCGAGAUAGAAUAAUCCAUAUUUUGUAAUUCCCUAUGCAGAUCAUCUAGUGUUUUACAGCUGCUCAAAAUUUCAGUUCGCCUUCUUGCAUCAGUGGAAGCACCAUGACUCACUAAUUUCACAAUUGCCUUGAGUAUUUUUGACUGAUUUGUCUCUAUUCUACCCCGCCCAGGUUUAUCACAUACGUUCAACUCAUUUGAAAUCUCUGGGUGCUUUUCGCAUAAAUUUUUCAAAGCAGAAGCUCCUUUGUCUCUAUGUUUUUUAUGUCUACUUGCAUUACCUUGUAAUCUCUUUAAGUCCUGUUUCUUUUCUUUCAAUUUUUUCUGCACGUUUGGUACACUUUUGCAGCCUCACCAUUAUCUAAACCAUUAUCUUUCGUAAUAAUAGCACUUUGUAACUGAGCUUUUAAGAUUUCUUGAGUGCAUAAAUCUUGUGCUGGCGUGUUGUAGACUUUAUCCAAAACAUUUUCAAACGAUGAAUUUUCGACGUUCAAAGACGUACUUCAAGAAGGUUGUACUGGUUUAUUGUAGGUUUUAUUUGAAGCAUUCUUUGUUGACCAGUGUUCCACGUUUGAAGACGUUUUUGGAACGUCUAAAUUUAAAUCGAAUUAAUAUUUUUAUUUUUGAUUAUUUAAACCAGUACUAAAAUAACACAAACUAGUUCAUUUUGCAAAAAAGUCAUUACUGCCGAUAAAGAAAAAAUUAAAAACGUGCAAAAAUGAAUAUUUUAUUUUAAAAAAUAUCUCAGUUCCCACCUGCUAGGAAACUAUUCGAUGACAGGCCAUCAUCAUUUGUUUUGUGAGAACUAUCGGGCGCGACUGUGGAUCGAGUAUCUGAUAUUUUUACCGAGGAUAAUUUCUAAAUAACAUUAAACAAAGUUACGAUGAGCCAUUGAACAUGCGAAUAUUUAUAAUCUAAUAAAACUAUUAAAAAAGUAGUUUCAAAAAUGAUCGGGAUUUGACGUAAAUAUUUUAAUUACCGUAGUAUAUAUUAGUAUACUUUGAGCUUUCUUUUGUGUCAAUUUUUCGUUACACUCCUUUGCAGCUUUUAUUUUUUCCUCUCUAUCCACUAUCUUGCCAACUCUAUCUUUCCAAGCAUCCAAAAAUUUAGCGUCAACCUUGGCUUUUGGUUGAUACUGAUAACACAGCUUGUACUUUUGUUUUGCACUAUUGAAUAAAUCGGUUAUGUCUGACCUCAUUUUAUCGAAUAACUCUUUUUCUUAAUCAAAAACGGAAUCACUGAAUUUUCAAGACUGAGAACUUCACAUUUUUGAGAACAGAUGCAGGCUGGAUUCACUAUAUUUUCAUUUCACUAUAAUAAUAGGCAGAACUUUUUCGAACAUGUUGAGAAAUUAUCAAUAUAUAUUAAAAAGCUGAUUGGACCUAAUUUAUUUUGUAUUUUAUUUGAGACAAUUCAUAAGCCUCUUGAUUUUGUAUUUCAAUUUGUCAUAAUUAGGAUUUACUAAAUUGUUAGGUUUCACAAUGAAUGAAAUGAAAUGAAAUGAAAUAAAAAGUGGAGAAAUUUAUGAAAAAGGAUUCCAUUUAAGAGUAAUGCAAUUUAUUUCUUUUAUAAUACAUGGAUGUAAGUGAAAAUUAUGCAUUUCGUUCAACAUUCAUUUUGAAUGAUUAUUUUCAGGUCCUGUGUCACUACAACUAUUUUUAAAUUGGUGCAAAUUAUCUACUUACAUAAGAAUUUUGUUGAAUUAUAUUGGCCUAUAAUAGAGUUUUUUAUUAUUUGUAGAAUGUAGUAUGAGUAAUGAGCUAUAAGAGUCAUUUCAUGUCUAAUUCGUUCCAUCAGGUCUUCAAAAUUGUAUGGUCGGUUAACUUGGUAUUUUUUAAUGUUACAACAAAAAAAAUCAUCCAGGAGAGUGAGAUCAAAUAACCUAGGUUCCUCCAUUGAUCCACGUCUUGUAAUCUACAUUCUUUCAAACUGGUUAUCCAGAAACCUUCGAAUACAAUAACCAUAAUAUGAUGGACAACUUUCUUGUUGGAACCAUAUAGUGGGCCAAGUUUUCCUAUUAUUUAGAUUAAAAAAUCCGCAAUUAGGUCUAGCAGCACUGCCAUACAAAGAAGGUCCAAAUAUUGGUAAGCUGUUAAUUCACGUGAAAGAAAUAAGGACCAAUAAAUCUUCCACUUGCGAAUUCCUACCAAAACGAAAACUUAUUGAUUUACUGUGUCAAUUAAACAGAACGUAGCCUCGUUUGAAAAUACUACAAAAUAAAGAAAAUUUGGAUUCUCAUCACUGUACUUCAUAAAGAUUUCACAAAAUUCCAAAUAUCUGCUGAGAGAGAGAGAGAGAGAGAGAGAGAGAGAGAGAGAGAGAGAGUUCAUGAACAAGGUAAACUUUGUAAAUAUGGGUACAGAUUUUCUUUACUCAAAAAAUUACUACAAACGACUGACUAAUAUUUUGAUGUGAGGCAAUUUCUGUUGUUGUUGUUGUUUUAGCACGAUUUAGGCCUCUAUCAAUCUUUUGAUUACAAUAAAAUUUAUUGAAAAAAUACUCAUUAAAAAAGUUUUAUAUGAAAUACUAUAUUACGGUAUUUACAAAUUUGAACAGACAAACAUAACAUAAAAUAUUCAUAUUUACAGUCUUAUAUAUUUCGCAGGUGAAUUCAAUGGAAAUUUAAUUGUUCAAUUUACGAAAAAAAUAUUGCUUGAAUGUUCCCUGUUUUACUAUAUUAGAUGAUUAUGUUGUGAUCUUAGUCGAUAAAAACAUGCUUGAUAGAAUCCAGAACCAAACACCUAAAAAAACAACUAGGUAUAGAACAUUUUGGAAUAAGUGAAAUAUCAAAAUUAUAAUAUAAAUAUUUUUAUUCUAAUCCGAAUAAUUCUAUAGCAGAUAGUAAAAAGUACUAUUUGUUCUAAAUAAAAUAUUAAGCAAAUUUUCAAUCUGUUAUUAUUAUGAUUAUUAUAAAGAAUAGGAAGGGCUAUCGGUUCGAACUGCUUGGGUAAUCCCAUUGUAGUCCUCUUGUUUUCUUCGCGUUAGCUUACGGAGACUCUCCAGAAUUGGGUUUCGCUGACUUUGUAGGAAUAUUCUUCCAUUAGGUCAAAUCUCAGAAUUUUUCUUCUUUUAUUAAUAAGAGCUUGACAAUUGCAUAAGCUGUAUUCCAUAGUUUCUUCCUCUGAUUCUCUACUGUCUGGAUGCCAAACUGGGAUUUUUGGCUUAACCUGGAAGUGAAGUACGGCGAAAGUUUUUUGACGGUUUUUAGUUCGUCUACUUUCAAUAAUAACGAGUCGUACAUCGAUUUAUAUGUUUUUAUGAAUAAGAAUCUCGAAUUUCAGAUCAAAAUAGGUACUAAAUCAGAACAUUGCUUUCUAAAUAAAAUUAGACUGGCAAUACCAGGCGAUGACAAAAUAAGUAUCUGUUCUCCAUAAUAUUCUUCGAGCUUAUUCAGAAGGGAUUUUCUGCUUAACUCUCCUCCGUACAAAACAUACAAAUUAUGUAAAUUAGUACUAUUCCAAGAUUGAAAAAUGUUCUGAGACAUAGUCUCAGUUAGCUUUUGAAAAGGAAAAUCUUCAUUAUCUUGAAAAGUGGUGCUUGAACGAUCCUAGAACUCACUUCUUCUGCCCAUUUGUCUUGGCGUUUUUCACAGGCAUUUUUGGGCGCCAUCUUGAAUUUAUCAAAAUGCUCAAGGGUGACAGAGUGGCAUCAAUCGGAUUCUUAAAAUAGACCUACUAAGUGACCUAAAACCGCAAAAAAAUUUUCAAUGUAUUUUACUUCCAGCUUUUUCGUUUGGCGUCCUGACUAUCAGCUUACAACAACAAUAUUUCCGCUGUCCAGUCUUAGUGGUUCAUCCCACCUAUGAAGGUUUCUGUCUGUUACCAUAUGAUUGAAGCCACGAUUCUUGAUUUUUUCUUUCUCAUAACUCGAGAUGUUUCUUAAUCAGUGAGUAUGGGAUUUCCACUGGAGGUUUGAAUCCUGUCAGCAUUUGCUUGACUCCAAGCUUGACCAAGUCCCAUGAAUCCUGCGUUUCAGAACAGCUUUACCUUUCAAAAGCGAGCUCAUUGAGUUCCUUAUAGUUCCUUAUAUAUAUCCUUAUAUAUAUACUCAUAGAGAUAAUGUGUGCUCUUAAAAUUCUCCAUAUCUUUUUUUAUACAUGUAUCUCAUUUUUUUGAUUGCUUCUAAGUGUAUGGUAGUAAUUGAAUAAUAUAAAAAUUAAGAAAGAAAACAGCUUGAUUUUUGAAAAUGUAGAAUGAUUUUUAAGGGAUGGUCAUCAAUUUAUUCAUGUUCAAUAAACAAUUCAAUGAACUAUUUACUGAGUCAGGUCAUGAAACUCAGUUCUUCUUGUAUCAAUUUUGCUUUUAAAUGCAGAGAAGCAGAUCGUUAGUAAAUAUUGUCUGGAUAUUGUAAUUUGUAAAGCCGAGUAAGUUCCACGACUAUCCUAACAUUUUCUUAUUAUCACAAACCAAAUGACGAAGCGGUAGCAAAACUAGAUGAAAUCAGUUGUUAAAUUUGAUUUGGUUUAGUAAUAUUCAUACUAAGGGAUAAAUUGGCAGCAUAUUUGGGAUCUAUGUAUUAUGUCAGCUAACCCUUUAAUUCAUUCAUAAAUAUACAAACCUUUAUUCCAAGUACUUGAAUUCGUGUUGGCAUUUGUUUUCUUCUCGGGAUUUUUUUUUCCGACAACAAAACGAUAAGUGGCGUUGAAUCCCGUUCCGUCCAACCUAUCAUUUGAUCGAAAAGUUACUCUGAAGAAUUUUUUGUCUGAUUCUACAUCAAAUUCUUUUAGUUGGCCACAGUACCUAGAAAAUUUCCUAUCUCUCGUCAAGAAAUUUGAAAAUUCUACGUAGUCGCUGGCGGAUACUGCUUCACAACUAUAAAAAAUAAAUUGAUAUGAAUAUGUUGACAAAAAACAGCAACUUUUUUUUUAAUUGUCAAUACUAUUUUGUUCCACCAUGUCUUCGACUACUACUUUCAUAGAGGUUAAAAUGAAGCAAAAAUGUGGAUUUUGCCAAAAGAAAUCAUCUAAUGAAGGGAAAAACCUUAUAAACUUGUAAAAAUAUAUGUUCAGAUCAGCAUGGGAAUAAUUAUAAUAGGUAGAUGUGAAAAAUAUUUGGCAUUUGGAAAAUAAGAAAAAACAUUGUAAUUUCUUAUAUAUUUUACAAAUGUACUUACGGUAAAACUCCCUCAACAUCAAAGUAGCUAAAAUGUAAUUGCACACGUUCAGACAUAUUACCAUUAAAAAAGUAAUGACAUUCGGUAUCCCUUGGAUAUAAGCCAGGAUAGUUUGGGCUAUGAAAAUAUCCUUCUUUCGAUUCGUUACUAUUAAAUUCAAAGGCACAUGGGUAAGUAGACAAUUGGGUACCAGUUUUAACACCAAAGUCUGUGAAAAAAAAAUUAAAUGUAAAAUGAUGAUUGAACAUUGGGCCAAAUUCUUAUUGAGUAUCUGGACUUCAAUGUUCCUGAUGUCAAUAAGUAUGGUAAAUACAAUUUCAAUUAUUUAACAACGAAAUUUGGUUGAAACGUUACUUUGAAUUCGAAUUUACCAGGAUCGUAAAGAAAAGAAAGACUACUGCUGUAAUGAUCAUGGUGGCUAAGAUACCAGGGGACGAGGGUUAUAAGAGCAACGAAGAGGUAAAUGAAAUGGCUAAAUAAGUUGUAUUAGCACCAUUUGAUGAACCACAACCCUUCGGCGGCAUUGUUAAAACAAGAAAUCUCCCACUAAAAAAUGUACAAAAGUACAACCGAAAUUCAUAGCAGAAUUGAUAAGUAGACGGGAAAACGAUCAAGACUGAAUAGACAUCUUGACAGAGGAAAUAAUGUGGAUAUUGUAAGCUAGAGUCCACACUAUGUUGCUCGGAUAGUUUAAUUAAAAUGAGAUUUGCGUUGCUAAGUUCAGGAAAGAUAACUAUGAGAGGUAUUCAAAUGCCCUUGAGCUUAUAAAAAUCAUUGACAGUCACGUGUAUCGAGAAAUAAUGUAUAGCCUAAGCAAACAGCCUUGACUGCUUACAGAAGGAUGGAAGUGCUGUUAUUCUUGAAUAACUGAAGGCCAUAGUGAAGGACUGGCUUAUGUCACAGCAGUUCUGGGGAAAAUAGGAUCCUUUGGCUAGAUAAACAGUUAGUUAGUUAUGAUCAGACCUCUGGUGAUUAUCGUACUUUUCCAUCCCUUUCUAUUUCUCAUAAAUGAAGGAUGCAAGUUGAUAAGCUGUAUAAGAAGAAAGAAGUUGGAGAAAUUAAUUUGUUGAAGAUGACCUCAAUAGAUUUGACGUUAGAGACCUGGUAAAGUGGAUACUAUCGAGACAGUCACGAAUUAGAUUUUUCAGAUACAACAGGGUUUCUGUUAAUAUUAAUAUUCUGUUAUUUAAAUUUCAGAAGUACUGGCCUUACUCUUGAAUUUCUCUCCAUAAACAUGGUUUAUUUUUAUUUGAUGCUCUGAUGAUAUUUUAUACUGGGAGUUUGGGAUCGUCUAGUAGAGAUAUAAAGUUAAAACCACAUUCCUCAAGCUCACAAACUUCAAGAUAUAUUCAGUCGUCUUUUAGUUAGUUUAGUAACUAUUUAUUUCAGUAGCUUUUAAAUAAAGUUUUUAAAAUAA